UACGUAUGAAAAGAUGAGCCAUCCACCCGUAGAGUAACCCAACCACCAUAUAUAGGUUGACUCCGAUCGUCCUUCACCAAGGAAGAGUCUUCGAAGUAGGGGUAAAGAGACGAGAGAAGUGUUGACGAUCUCCUAGGGAGUUCUCAGGCUAGAAGUGUUCUUUACCGACGAUCGCGAUCGCCUCCAUCUUGACUUCUCUUGUUCGGCUCGUAAAAUUCGUGUAAUGGCUUCGUAGACGGUAAUCUGAAAGACUUCUCAUAGUGUCUAGUCAAGAGUCUCUUCGCACAUUAACCAUUUCCGCGAAAACCUUGGCAAAUACUCCCUUGACACGGUCUACCCCUUUGGUAGCGACAGUUCUUUGAACGGCUUUUAAGCGGGGAAGGUGCUCUAUUUCGUAAAUUAUUACUCCAAGUUUUAUAAUACCGAGAAGUUGUACUCUUACAACAUUUCAACCAACCAAUGACAGUACUUUCAGUUUUCUUUCACCACGUCUUGUUACCUUCCAUAUAACAACGACUGUAACAACUUUCACAUGAGACGAUACUUAUAAAUGGUUCUCCUUCGGAAUUCUUCUUAGAAAAACCUCUAUGGGUUUACCCGACCCUGUGUGCUAAGUUGUAUUAAUUCCCCUAGACGCUCCCAAAUGAGAAACAUGUGUCGUAAGGAUAACACGUAUACCUAGAAUUCGGGCUUUUAUAUGACGACCUAUCAUUGUACCAUGGCUUUUAUCGCCUAAAACCAGAGAGUGCUGAGAAGCCAGUUCUUGUUUGUGCCUACUUGUGUGUUUUGCAUCACCCCAGUAUACCUAUGUAACGAGGUCUUAUAGAUAUGUCUCCACUUUAGAGGUGUUUCAGCCUGUAUAUGUCAAAUCCACAUGAUUAGGACCUCUGGUGGUGUUCUCUCCUCUUAACGGCGCCCUUGUUUGGUAGACGUCUUGUUAAAUAAUUUUUUCAUACACUUUUAACCUGUCUGGUCGUGUAGCAUAGCCUCAUGGGUAGUAAUUUUCGUCUAACGGAGGCUGUUUAUUUUUUUACGUAGCUUUAACCUGACGUUACACAACUCUGUCUAGCCGUCUCCUCUGGAAGGUAUCUUCUUUAAUAGCUGGUUGAGUUACCUGCUGUAGGAUUAAAUCGAUGUUCCAGUAUGACUAGAGGUCAGAGGACCCUCUUACGUAUAAGUCAGAAGAAGUCCUCUGUACACGUUCUUCCUUUCCUGUACGAGAUGAAUCACUGUUUGAACCUUAUUAAACGAUACUAUACAUAGAGGAUAAUUGAAGGUAAAGAAUACUACCAACGAUGAGGAACAUAUAAAAGAACCAUUACCUCAAGAAAUAUGAGGUAUAUGUUACACCAACGGACAGGUCAAAGUCACGGUUUAUUAUUAAAAUAAAAGGGCGA
RNAcentral lists this ribosomal RNA (1397 nucleotides) under Triticum aestivum (bread wheat). RNAcentral describes it as "partial small subunit ribosomal RNA". Lineage: Eukaryota; Viridiplantae; Streptophyta; Magnoliopsida; Poales; Poaceae. The record is from RNAcentral.